GACGAGCGCUGGCGGCGUGCUUAACACAUGCAAGUCGAACGGAAAGGCCCUGCUUUUUUGGGGUGCUCGAGUGGCGAACGGGUGAGUAACACGUGAGUAACCUGCCUUUGACUUUGGGAUAACUUCAGGAAACUGGGGCUAAUACCGGAUAGGUGCUCCUGCUGCAUGGUGGGGGUGGGAAAGUUUCGGCGGUUGGGGAUGGACUCGCGGCUUAUCAGCUUGUUGGUGGGGUAGUGGCUUACCAAGGCGUUGACGGGUAGCCGGACUGAGAGGGUGACCGGCCACAUUGGGACUGAGAUACGGCCCAGACUCCUACGGGAGGCAGCAGUGGGGAAUAUUGCACAAUGGGCGGAAGCCUGAUGCAGCAACGCCGCGUGCGGGAUGACGGCCUUCGGGUUGUAAACCGCUUUCGCCUGUGACGAAGCGUGAGUGACGGUAAUGGGUAAAGAAGCACCGGCUAACUACGUG
Molecule: ribosomal RNA, 468 nt
Filed under: uncultured bacterium
Lineage: Bacteria
Description: partial 16S ribosomal RNA
Rfam family: Bacterial small subunit ribosomal RNA
Source: RNAcentral